This 24-nucleotide non-coding RNA is filed under the name Rattus norvegicus (Norway rat). Lineage: Eukaryota; Metazoa; Chordata; Mammalia; Rodentia; Muridae. The record is from RNAcentral.
UGACUAUGCUGGUGUGGGUGCUAG